GACGAACGCUGGCGGCGUGCCUAAUACAUGCAAGUUGAGCGCUGAAGGUUGGUACUUGUACCUACUGUAUUAGCAGCGAACGGGUGAGUAACGCGUGGGGAAUCUGCCUUUGAGCGGGGGACAACAUUUGGAAACGAAUGCUAAUACCGCAUAAAAACUUUAAACACAAGUUUUAAGUUUGAAAGAUGCAAUUGCAUCACUCAAAGAUUAUCCCGCGUUUUAUUAGCUAGUUGGGGAGGGAAAGGCUUACCAAGGCGAAGAUACAUAGCCGACCUGGGAGGGUGAUCGGCCAAAAUUGGACUGAGAAACGGCCCAAACUCCUACGGGAGGCAGCAGGAGGGAAUCUUUGGCAAUGGACGAAAGUCUGACCGGGCAACGCCGCGUGAGUGAAGGAGGUUUUCGGAUCGUAAAACUCUGUUGGUAGAGAAGAACGUUGGUGAGAGUGGAAAGCUCAUCAAGUGACGGUAACUACCCAGAAAGGGACGGCUAACUACGUG
RNAcentral lists this ribosomal RNA (497 nucleotides) under uncultured bacterium. RNAcentral's name for it is "partial 16S ribosomal RNA". It matches the Rfam family "Bacterial small subunit ribosomal RNA", at positions 28 to 507 of the family's 1533-position model. The record is from RNAcentral.